RNAcentral lists this ribosomal RNA (238 nucleotides) under Klebsiella pneumoniae. Its description in RNAcentral is "partial 16S ribosomal RNA". It matches the Rfam family "Bacterial small subunit ribosomal RNA", at positions 632 to 869 of the family's 1533-position model. Lineage: Bacteria; Pseudomonadati; Pseudomonadota; Gammaproteobacteria; Enterobacterales; Enterobacteriaceae. The record is from RNAcentral.
ACUGGCAGGCUAGAGUCUUGUAGAGGGGGGUAGAAUUCCAGGUGUAGCGGUGAAAUGCGUAGAGAUCUGGAGGAAUACCGGUGGCGAAGGCGGCCCCCUGGACAAAGACUGACGCUCAGGUGCGAAAGCGUGGGGAGCAAACAGGAUUAGAUACCCUGGUAGUCCACGCCGUAAACGAUGUCGAUUUGGAGGUUGUGCCCUUGAGGCGUGGCUUCCGGAGCUAACGCGUUAAAUCGAC